RNAcentral lists this ribosomal RNA (497 nucleotides) under uncultured bacterium. RNAcentral's name for it is "partial 16S ribosomal RNA". It matches the Rfam family "Bacterial small subunit ribosomal RNA", at positions 28 to 507 of the family's 1533-position model. The record is from RNAcentral.
GAUGAACGCUGGCGGCGUGCCUAAUACAUGCAAGUCGAGCGAACGGACGAGAAGAUUGCUUCUCUGAUGUUAGCGGCGGACGGGUGAGUAACACGUGGAUAACCUACCUAUAAGACUGGGAUAACUUCGGGAAACCGGAGCUCAUACCGGAUAAUAUUUUGAACCGCAUGGUUCAAAAGUGAAAGACGGUCUUGCUGUCACUGAUAGAUGGAUCCGCGCUGCAUUAGCUAGUUGGUAAGGUAACGGCUUACCAAGGCAACGAUGCAUAGCCGACCUGAGAGGGUGAUCGGCCACACUGGAACUGAGACACGGUCCAGACUCCUACGGGAGGCAGCAGUAGGGAAUCUUCCGCAAUGGGCGAAAGCCUGACGGAGCAACGCCGCGUGAGUGAUGAAGGUCUUCGGAUCGUAAAACUCUUUUAUUAGGGAAGAACAUAUGUGUAAGUAACUGUGCACAGCUUGACGGUACCGAAUCAGAAAGCAACGGCCAACUACGUG